UUGAACGCUGGCGGCAUGCCUUACACAUGCAAGUCGAACGGUAGAGGGGCAACCCUUGAGAGUGGCGAACGGGUGAGUAAUAUAUCGGAACGUGCCCAGUCGUGGGGAUAACGCAGCGAAAGCUGCGCUAAUACCGCAUACGAUCUAUGGAUGAAAGCGGGGGAUCGCAAGACCUCGCGCGAUUGGAGCGGCCGAUAUCAGAUUAGGUAGUUGGUGGGGUAAAAGCCCACCAAGCCGACGAUCUGUAGCUG
Molecule: ribosomal RNA, 251 nt
Filed under: uncultured bacterium
Lineage: Bacteria
Description: partial 16S ribosomal RNA
Rfam family: Bacterial small subunit ribosomal RNA
Source: RNAcentral